Capsicum annuum is the source of this 1107-nucleotide long non-coding RNA. RefSeq lists it as uncharacterized. Lineage: Eukaryota; Viridiplantae; Streptophyta; Magnoliopsida; Solanales; Solanaceae. The record is from RefSeq and is a predicted model, not a curated record. The transcript is spliced from 3 exons.
CUCCAAAAUUUUAUUGAUUUGUGACGAAAAAUAAAUAAUUGUACCUUUAUCUCAGAUUUUAGGAAAAGCAUAAGCGGGAAAAGAAUUUCCCACAUAUUUUCCUUCCCUUUUUGCUCAAUUUUCCCUCUUUACUUUCAGUCAGUUUAGGUUUUUCUCUUUUCGUCAAUUAGAGCUUUGAACGAGUUGGCCUUCCCUCAAGCGAUUAGGACUCCAAUUUGUGUUACAUCUUACUAUUUUGUUUGCCUUACGUUUGUUCGUCAAGAUAUUUGAAGAGGAGGUAUGUAUGUGACAGUGAGGAGGUUCAAUAGGUUGAUUGUAACAAGAAGAACUAAGGGAGGUGUACAUGCCCAAACUUCAAUUGAUCGAGGACAUGUCAUUAAGUAGAAAGACAUGAAGGUCGAGGAUAAGGUCAGAAUUGUUGCUCAUAUUCUGGGGCCUUACAAUUUUUGUAUGAUCACACUCCUUAUUCUGUUGAACCAUAGCUCUGGCGGUAUCCACUUCAGAAAAUUACUUGAUUCUAUUGAUAUGAACAAAUUUGUCUUCACAAUUAAUCAAACUCGUUAUCAAUGUGCCCUUGAUGCUUACAAUUAAACCAAUAAUCAGAAAUGAUAUAUCUUACCAAAAAUAUUUUUUUAAUACAUACAUAUGUUAAGAAUAUUUUUAGAUUCUAUUGUGAUUUAUAAUACUUUUUACGUAAUUUUUAAGUAAUAUAUGUUAUACCCUUUUUCUCAAGUUAUGUGGUAUUGAUACAAUUUUUGAAAGUUAGCUAAUUUUAUUUAUUUAUACACACACAUAUAUAUAUAUUACUUUUGUAUAUAUAAAUUACUUUUUUCGUACAUACAGAAAGUGAACGGGGACAAUAAAACUUGAAUUCACGUGUAGUAGAUGGGAGACACCUAGUAAAACUACAAGGACGCUUAAUUAUGCAUCCUGAAGACGAAAUAUGAUAUAUAUUUUAUUUAUGGAACACCUCAAAUUUAUUCAUGAGAUAUUCCACCUUAUACAUCCUAUCAAACGACAAAUAUUCUAACAACCACAUGUUACGCUGUACAAUUUGAAGAUAAGGGUCAAUAUGGCCUUUCAUUUAAUUACAUUAAUUAGGAAAAA